GGAGGAGUUGACCCAGACUGUGGGGAAGAUCACUGAGUUUGGGACUGCAAGGAGGUAAUGCUCACCUGACUCUGAAAUGAUGGUGGAUGAGGAGAGCCAAGGG
Chelonoidis abingdonii (Abingdon island giant tortoise) is the source of this 103-nucleotide long non-coding RNA. RefSeq lists it as uncharacterized. Lineage: Eukaryota; Metazoa; Chordata; Testudines; Testudinidae. The record is from RefSeq and is a predicted model, not a curated record.